Ochotona curzoniae (black-lipped pika) is the source of this 1768-nucleotide long non-coding RNA. RefSeq lists it as uncharacterized. The transcript has 2 exons. The record is from RefSeq and is a predicted model, not a curated record. NCBI's taxonomy places the organism in Eukaryota, Metazoa, Chordata, Mammalia, Lagomorpha, Ochotonidae.
UGGAGCCCGGGGCUUGUUCCUCUCCAGCCCUGCAACCUCAGGAGCUGAAAGAAGAGCGGGCGGCUUGAAGACUCCACGCACCGAAGGAUAGACAGACAGUGCAGUCACCCAUAAAGUAGAAAGCACUACUAACAGCACUGGAGGGUGUAGUGUUUCCUACUUUAUGGAUGAGUGUACUGUGGGCUUCGGACCACGCCGCCGCCGCCUGCGGCCUCACUUCAGGACCCAGUGGCACAGGUGAGCACUUCAGGCGUCCCUUCUCCCGCCUAGACCCCUGGCAAGGCUCCCGACAUCCCCCCCGGCAGUGCUGCCUUCCCUUCCAGACAACCUGGGAGGGGCACCAGCCGCCCCCUGCCACCGCUGCUGGGCUGACCCAAAGUCUAGGUGGGAGCCAUAGGGUGGGGUCGGGAGUGGGGUGGCAGCGCAGGGCAUGCGGACCCCAGGGGCAGCCAUAACAGGUGGGUGGGGAAGCGUGGGGUCCCUGGAAGGGUGGGCGCAUGGAAGGGCUGCUGACAGUAAUAAAGAAUGCAAUCUGUUUCUCUCUUGUCCGAGUCUCUGUUGCUGGGUGAGGGGAGAGGGCACAUGGCUAUGGUGCUACACACCAGGGUUGAGAUGGGGGUGGUCAGGCUCGCCCUCCCAAUGGGAUGUGCAGGGCUCUGGGCCUUCCAGGCCGCAGCUGGGGGAGGGAAAGGCCUAGCUCGGGGGAGGGAGGACUUGUUGGCAAUCUGAGGGCGGGGGCAGGACACGGCGGGGUGCUCCCACCUUCUGCCCUCCGCUGGCUCUGCCUUGUCCCUCCACCAUUUACAGCCACGAACUGAAACCGCUUAUCUUCAGUUUUAAUCUAAGAAAGGCCUGGGGACCCUUAAAAUGUAAGAAUUGAGCCAGGAUGCAGCGUUUCACACAUAGACAAGUCCACAGAUAACAAGCAAAGCACACAUACCAGCACGUGUUUGCAUUUUCACACAUAUAUGACAGGAACACACAAGGACAGUGAGACAGCUCAGUGACAUAGCUCAUGUGGCACAACACGACACACAGGGCUACACACACACACCCAGGGCAUAUAAUCAGUAUGAUGGGAGCUUCAAAAAAUCCUGGAAAAUGGAAUUAAAAGAUAAGUUUACUUUAAUGCAAAUAAUGUUGAAAUCAUGCUUCCAAUAGUUUGUGGGAACUGUACCUUAUGCAGUGACUGGAUUUCAAGGUUGUUUGUGGUAAAAUAAAAUCUUUUAAAUUUAACUGAUCAUGAACUUCUGGAAUUAACCCGUUACACCAUCACACAAUGACAUAACCAUAUGUGGCACAGGUCACAUACAGAAAAGCAUGCAAAUGUAACUGACAUCCACAUGAUAAAGGCGGAGCCUUCAUACACAUGUGUGGGUGAUACACAUUCGUACAUGGUAGUACAUCCGUAGAUGCCUAGGGACAUGUUCAGCCGGUCACCAGGCACGUACAGGCAUAUGUAUAUACACCAAGACAGCGGGCCCUCCUCAUCACAGGCUUUCAGGAGUCAAGCGUACUCAACAUUCACAGCCCUUUUUCUUAUUCUCCCACACGCAGUAUGACAAUGAUGAGGCGUUCCGUGAUGGUAGGCACUUCGGCUCAUCUAGAGCCGAUUCCCUGCCUGUGGGAAAAAGCACGUCAGGGGCUGUCACACCCUGCCUGGGGUCUCCGCUCCAGCCAGGCCCUGGCUCCCUGGACAUCAAGCAGACACAGCACCAUUUUACAGAAGGAGCUCAAGCAGUCAUGGGCCUUGGGACUAAUCCUCACA